Molecule: ribosomal RNA, 253 nt
Filed under: uncultured bacterium
Lineage: Bacteria
Description: partial 16S ribosomal RNA
Rfam family: Bacterial small subunit ribosomal RNA
Source: RNAcentral
UACAGAGGUCUCAAGCGUUGGUCGGAUUCAUUGGGCGUAAAGGGUGCGUAGGCGGCGCGGUAAGUCGGGUGUGAAAUCUUGGAGCUUAACUCCGAAACUGCAUUCGAUACUGCCAUGCUUGAGGACUGGAGAGGAGACUGGAAUUUACGGUGUAGCGGUGAAAUGCGUAGAUAUCGUAAGGAAGACCAGUGGCGAAGGCGGGUCUCUGGACAGUUCCUGACGCUGAGGCACGAAGGCCAGGGGAGCAAACGGG